GACGAACGCUGGCGGCGUGCUUAACACAUGCAAGUCGAACGAUGAAGCUGGAGCUUGCUCCGGUGGAUUAGUGGCGAACGGGUGAGUAACACGUGAGCAAUCUGCCAUUGACUCUGGGAUAACUGCGGGAAACUGUAGCUAAUCCCGGAUACGAGGCUCGAAGGCAUCUCCGGGUCUGGAAAGAAUUUCGGUCAAGGAUGAGCUCGCGGCCUAUCAGCUUGUUGGUGAGGUAAUGGCUCACCAAGGCGACGCCGGGUAGCCGGCCUGAGAGGGUGACCGGCCACACUGGGACUGAGACACGGCCCAGACUCCUACGGGAGGCAGCAGUGGGGAAUAUUGCACAAUGGGCGAAAGCCUGAUGCAGCAACGCCGCGUGAGGGAUGAAGGCCUUCGGGUUGUAAACCUCUUUUAGCAGGGAAGAAGCGAAAGUGACGGUACCUGCAGAAAAAGCACCGGCUAACUACGUGCCAGCAGCCGCGGUAA
Molecule: ribosomal RNA, 483 nt
Filed under: uncultured bacterium
Lineage: Bacteria
Description: partial 16S ribosomal RNA
Rfam family: Bacterial small subunit ribosomal RNA
Source: RNAcentral